Felis catus (domestic cat) is the source of this 37196-nucleotide long non-coding RNA. RefSeq lists it as uncharacterized. The record is from RefSeq and is a predicted model, not a curated record. Lineage: Eukaryota; Metazoa; Chordata; Mammalia; Carnivora; Felidae. The transcript has 2 exons.
GCAAGGCCCUCCCCUCAGCUCUGCAUAGCAGUGUUCGUGGCUUUGCCCCCUGAAGGCGCCAGCUGUCCCUGGUCAGCCCCCAGAAGCCAACAGGAGGCCAGGGAGGGCCGGGCAGGUGAGUGGCUGCUGGUACAGGUGGCUGUUGUUCUAGUUAACUGAGGGGCGGGGAGAAAGCAGCUUAUAAAAAGGCAGGUUGCCGCCGGUCUCUGGUGGAGGGUGGCUGUGAGCUUUGACAGGGGGGUGGUGGGGUUGCUGUGUGUUUUCAACCUGGCAAGUUCGGUGCGCGCGCGCUCUCUCUCUCUCUAGAUUCCUUCCUCUUGAGAAAACUCCUGUUUUCUGCUUCUCUCUCUUGCUUUCACCCCGCUAGAGCCUAAAGAGGCCGUAGCCAACAAAAGUCUGCUUUAGCGCAUCUCCACCUGCACAUCUGAGGCCUCCUCUUUACGUAAAGGGCCCUCCUUUGCUUUGAGCCCUUUCCCCCUCUGAAGAGGAAGCCGGGAGCAGGUCUUUGGUUCAGAGUGCCAAGGGGAGGCUCUGCUGCUUUUCUCCAACAGAACGGGGCAAGAAGGAACCGGCUGGCCCCUCGUGGCCCAACCUCGGGGGGAACGAUAGGGUAGGCUUUCAAGGGCAGCACCCCUACUCCCUCACGAUGAAAAUCCACGUUGAUAGGCGAACCAUAGGCAGGGCCCCACAAGGCCUCUGAAUCAGGCAUGGAGGAUCCUGGGAGCCUGGGGCCUAUGUGACAGCUGUGUCGGGCUCUCCGUGCCCAUCUUCCUUGAGCUUGGUCGUUAGCUGGGUCAGAACAGAGCCAGCAACGUGAGACGUCAAGUAGAUGAACCUGAGCUCCUACCCAGCGAGCUGCAGGCUUUCCUACGUUCCGAUCGCUCUCUCCAGGGCAACAGGACUGGCCGCUCUGAGCAGCAGGCACUGGCUCUAGACGCGGCUUUAUUAGUUCCUGCUGUGGUCCUGGGGGGGUCUAGAUGGCUGCUCAGAUCUGAAUUCAUGACGGUCGAGAACUCCUGACCCCUAUCAGGUGUUGAAUCCACACGGCACUAGAGUAAGGUGCUCAGCAGAACCAAAACGUGCGAGGAUCUUGCCACAAGCUUUGCCUGAGACUCAGGAUGUCAGUCCUUUUUCUGGGCAGUGACUAAAACAGGCUGUUUUCCUUAGACCUCUUCUGAUCAUCCCCUCAGACUGCGUUGUCCUGGAAUGAGCAGCAAAAGGGGCCGCUACUUUGCCCUCCCUAGAAAACCUUAGGGCCACCUCUCCCUAACCUGCGAAGUAUGAGGACUUCUACCUCCAGUCACCGAAGUGUCGUCUGGGUACCACAUUGUCAGCAAAGAGAUGCAGACUGUAGGCUUUCUUGUAAAACUUAAGACCGUUACUGCAUUAAGACCUUGGAGCUAAAAUGAACCAAAACCUCUUCCUUUACCUGGCAGGGGUCCGAUGUUCGUUGCCAAUCCUUCUCUGAUCAGGAUUCACCUUCCCAGGAGAAAGUGGCCCUGAUCCUAGUUCUUGCCUUUCCUGGUGACCGACUUCCACACUUCCUCUCCCCUGAAGGACACUUUACCCCUACCUUGGAAGGGAGGAAAAGUCUUGUUUGGGCUUUCUCAAAGCACCCCAACUAGUCCCUGUUGGGGAAAAGAAUUUAGGCCCAGUUCUUUCCAAUUCACUGGCUCUGAUUUUAUGAUGGGAGCCACGUGAACCUAGUUGUAACCGGACUCCUUCCUACUCCUGUCAACCUGAGCUUUCUUGAUCUGAUGCUACUGCCCAAACUUGUAAAACUGGGAAUAGGAAAUAGCUUCUGAGGCUUUCACAGACCCCAUCUCAACGUGGAUUGUGCCCAGAGUCCGGGGACCCCAGCUGUGCCACUUCCGUGGGUCUAGGGGUAGCAUCUGGUUGGAAACGGGGUGCUAACUAGAUCGUGAGGCAGCCCCCGACACGGCCACAAAUGGCCAGCAGGUGCAGCUUACGCCAAGUACAGGUGAUGCCAGUGCUCCUCGUGGGGAACUUGGAAACGCAGAGCACUUGAAAACUAAGCCCACAGCUCAGAGUGUUGCCUAGCUUUUGCCGCCCUGCUAUAAAUACGGUGCAGAAAUCCUGCCCUCUCCUAAGAGCUUAGAGGAAGGUUCUACGGAGCCUCAUACCCUGGUCACAGCCUGGCCUUCGGUCUCCAAGCUGUCAUUCCUUCGUGAGCUGUCACUCUCGAGAAAUGUUGCCUUUAGCACUUUGGUGGUCAAAACCAUCCUUCCCAAACAGUACAAGGGCCUGGGUGGGUGGGUGACCACUUUGAAUCCUCUACAAAGGAACAGUGUAAGGACUGCUGCAAAGCUGAGCCUGCGUGCCUUUGACGUAUGGUGCUGAUGUGACCUUAGGAAACGUGCAGUAGGUGGUAGCUGAGCUGGUCUUCCCGCAUCUUCUACGUUCUCCGUGUCACACCCUCCACUCCGGCCGCAAUCAAAUGUACGUGAAGUUGAACAUGUUGAGGCUGAACGUCAAAAUAGGUGGUGUGCAGCGGGGAGGUUAACUUUGCUGAUUUGUGCAAUGUCCCAUGAUACUUGUACUAGGGCCAUUUAGAUGCCAUCCCGUGAGGGGCCAGUGGCCCUUGUGCUGAACCUUAAGCUCUAGGUGCCUGGUGAACAGACUCCUCUGCCUCCAGGGGUGGUGAAGCUUGUAAUCCUAGAUUAAAUGUCCGUGUAUACAGGCGUUCCCCAGAGAUCUUGUGGGAUCUUCUAGGCUACCACAAUAAAGCCGCGAAAUGAACUUCUUGGCUUCCAAGUACACAUGAAAGUUCUACUCUAUACUGUGGUCUAUGAAGUGUGAUAACCUGGUCCUAAAACACUUGAACUAAAUAUUGCUAGGACGAACGGUAACCAUUUGCGCUCUCAGCGAGUCUGGCUUUCUGUUGGUGGAGGGUCUGCCCUGAUGCUGAUGGCUGCUGACAGAUCCGGGUGGUGGCCGCUGAAGGCUGCGGUGACUGGCAAUUUCUUAAGACCGCGAUGAAGUUUGCCACCUCGACUGACCCUUCCUUUCACAAGUGACUUCUCUGUAGCAUGUGAUGCUGUUUGACAUCAUUUUGCCCACAGAACUUCUUUGAAAACUGGGGUCCUUUCAAGCCCUGCCACCUUACCAACGAGGGCUCCAGAAUAUUCUAAAUCCUGUCCUUCCAACAAUCUCCACCGCAUCCUCACCAGGAGAAGCUUCCGUCUCCAGGAAGCAUGUUCUCUGCUCCUCCCCGAGAAGCACCUCCUCCUUCACUAGCCUUCUCCUGAGAGGACAGGAGUUCAGUCCCGUCUUCAGGCUCCACUUCUGAUUCUGGUUUUCCUGCUGUUUCCACCACAUUCACAGGGCGUCCUCUGCUGCUGCCCUGAGCCCCUCAAAGUCCUCUGCGAGGGCUGAAUCCACUUCUUCCAAACUGCUGUUUAGUGUUAACACUGCAACCUCUUCCCAUGACAUCCUAGAUGUUGUUCGUGGCCUAGAACAGUGAAUCCUUCCCAGAAGGUUUUCAACUUUGCCCAGAUCCACCCAAGGACUCCUGUCUAUGGAAGCUAUAUCCUUCCAGAAUGUACUUCCUAAGUAACAAGACUCACAACUCAAAAGUUACCCCCGAUCUGUGGGCUAUGGAAUGAAUGUUGUGUUAGCAAACAUGAACACCUUAAUCUUGCUGUGAGGCUCCUUCAGACCUCUUGGGUGAGCAGGUACUAGACCGAGAGCAGUAAAACGAAUCUCUAGCAGUUCUCAACAGUAAGCCUGAAGUAUUCUGUUGAACCAUGUCGUAAGCACUGUCAGGCUUUGUUUGUGUUGAUAGAGCACAGGCAGAGUAGACCUAGCAUCCUUCCUAGGGGCCUUAGGAUUUCAGCAUGGCCAAUGAGCAUUAUUUGGCCUUCUCUUAAUGUCAGGAGCAGCGUUAGCCCCUAACAAGAGAGUCAGUCUGUCCUCCAAAUUCCUGGCUUCAAACUUCAAUCUAUAGAUGUCCUAGAUGACUGCCUCUUACAAACAUAAGGUGGUUCUUGCUAUAGUGAAAAUCUUACGGAUUAGCUAAAUCUUACAGGUAACUUGCUGUAUCACUUUGUACUUCUGUUAUGGAGAUCACUUCUUGAACCUGAAGAACCAACCUGUCAGCCUCAAACUUCAGCUCUCCACCUCCCUUGGCCCUUACAGAAUUGGGAAGUUAGGGCCUUGCUCUGGACUAAACUUUGGCUUGAGGAAACGUUAGGGCUGCCUUGACCUUCCAUCUCAAAUACUAAGGCUUUCUUCAUAUCUGCAAUCGGGUUGCCUGGCAUUCUUAUUCCUGUACUUACUGGAGAAGCCCUUUUAAUUUCCUUUGGGAACUUUUUCCUUCGUGUUCACAACUUGGGUCACUGGCCAAAGAUGAGCUUUUGGCCUGUCAGCUUUCAAUGUGCCUUCCUCACCAAGUUUUUUGACUUUGCGUUCAAGUGGAAAGAGUCCCAUCUCCCUUGGAGACCACUGUAGGCUACUAAUUGGUCUAAUCUCCGUAUGGUCUCACCAAGGCUUGAAGAGAAGGGGAGAGACCAGAGUGGCGUGUCAGUGGAAUAGUCUGAACACUGCCAUUAGUUAAGUUUGUGGUCUUAUGGUCAUGGUCCUGGAUCGUGGUGCCCUGAAACAAUUAAAAAUCACCACAUCAAAGAUCACGGAUCCCCGAGCAACAUCACCAAUAGAAAAGUCUUGAAAUACUGUGAAUUCCCAAAAUGUACUGCAGAGAGCAAGUAGAUAGGUGAAAAAUCACACCGAUAGACUUGCUCUGUGAAAGGUUGCCACAAACUUUAAUUGGUGUUUAAAAGUGCAAGCACUCGAGGUAGGUCUGUAGAAGAUCAAAUGGAGAGCAGUUUCUGUAGCUGUCCUUCCCAACAGGGAAGAGAACUUUUCAAAAUACUUGCACAUUAGACCUUUGGUCAGGUCAGUAAGAAUACUCUGAGCAUCCCAACUGAGGGCUGUCCAGAGUCUUGAGUGCUAGACCAGAGCUCACAGGUACAUGGCUUUGCUGAGAAAAGGGAGCCACUAGCCUCUGCCCUGAACUGUGCUUGUUUUGGGGAAUCCUCAUUGCUUUCAAGAUAAGAAUCCAUUCUAUCAGGCUCCAGGGUGACCACUGUAGCUAGACUUUGCUCCUGGUUGAAGCCCUGAAGGCCCCGAGGUGGAAUCCAAAUAGGCACGAAGUAGACUGUACUGAGCAAGUUGGCACUUAAGGCAGCCCCCUUAGAUGUGGUUCUUCUCACCCCACCCCCAUAGGUUUGGGUCUGCCUGAAACAUUCAGGCUCCAUGAUUCCCGCUCUCCUCUUACCCAUGGUUGGUCUCCUCCUGAGGUGGUUUUAAGACCUUCAUGGACCCCUAGGAACUGUGUUCCUUUGCCUCUAUGGUUCUGGGCUUGACUACAGCCUAGUAGCUAAUAAGAACUUCAUAAAGGGAAAGUUCUUACUGAUUCAAGUGGCAAAAACUAGCAAAGGUUGGUCCAAAUAUCACCAAAGGAUAUCUGGACCUGGGCUGGGAUCAAGGGGUGGCAAGAAAUACAAAGAACGGUUGGCUGCAGAAAGGCUAACAUCUGCUGGCCUGGACUAGUCCUGUAAGAAAGGAGCCCCGUCGGAGGGCAAGGGCCUAUGGAAAAGCCUCCAGAUAGGAGCAGCUUUGUUGUUCUGAUGCAUGUGAUGUUGGAAGUUGGCAACAGUUUUAGGCAAAGGACACUGAACUUGGAGCUCUACAGGGUUUGCCCUGGUCUAUCCUAAACUCUUCAAGCUAUGGAAGUUGGGAGGCUGUACAUCACAUGCGACCAGAUCCUACCAUGGCUCUUGAUCCUUGUCUAAUGAGGUUGACUAUAGUUAGGGAUACAGGCUAAGUCAGGCUGUCUUCCACAUCAAAAUCCCCUCGGGAGAAGGUGGGGGGGGGGGACACUCCUAUAUUCCUGGUCUGAGAAUUCAUGUUCUCCUAAUGUAGCUUCUUACCACAGUUGUGUUUAUCGUGCACAAGUGCUAACGAAACUGAACUUGAGGCUAACUGCACCUUGGUGACCAGCAUGAGUGGCAGGUAAACCACUGCUUGCUUGAAGUAAACAAAACUACCAGGAGCUCUGGGUCCCAAGUAUCCACAAUCUGAAAGCAACCACAGCCAGAGCAUUUUCUCUGCUACCAGGGCCCCUGGAUCUGACUCCAUAGCUGGCCUUCCUACUACAGCACAAAGGCUUGAUGUAUCUGGGGACAAUUGGACAAACCUGGCCCCAUGCAAUAUCCGUACCAGCUGGGCUUCAGAAGAUACUCUGAAACCUACACCUACUUAGGUAGAAGGUUCCUAUGGGCAUUCACUUUGGGUCCCAGCUGACCUGGCAUCUGUCAAAGUAUAUUCGUGUCCCUCUACUGCAAAUGGAACAUAUCUCCCUCCUCCCCUACCUCUUAAGAGUUGAGAACCAGGUCUUAAUAUGAAACAGACCAGAACUUUGGAGGGAUUAUCCUCCCUAUAGGCAACCUGUCUGAAGUGAUGGUUUGGGGUAAAACCGGGGCAGAACAAGGCUCUUGCCUCAUGCCCUAAGAGCACUGUGUGCUCUUCCCUGUGAAGAGGUCUAUACACCCCUAUACACUUGGGCUUCACUAUCUUCCAGAGGUGAAAUCUGGCGAAGUCUGCUAUGUACUUCUGGUCCUCCAGACUCUGAGGUCUCAGGGCAUGGGGUUCUGAAUGGUUCAGGGCAGUGGAGGGUGCAUGAUUUCUACUCUAGGGACCCAAACAAAUCAUGGCUUUUUUUUUUUCCUUUUGAGUAGGUUUCUGAAUUCUUCCUCAGCCUCAAGAGAACUUGGGGGCAGGAAACCAGAGGUUUACUGGGGUGGCCUUUCUGUACUAGUGUGCCUAGGGAAAUCUGUCCAGUGUUGCUACUAUGACUGCUGACUAUACAGGUCACCAUGAGUCUGGAGGGCUAGGUGCAGGAAGGUUCCCAAAGGGUGGCCUUCUGGGUUGGAUGAACACUUCUCCCUUGGUUUUCUACCUGGGAGUUCCAGGAAUCCUGCCAGGGCACACUAUCUGUUUGACCAAUAUCUCAGUGGUGGUUCUGGUUCCUCGAAGGGACUUCUCAGUCACAGAAGGCACAAUGGGGGUCUGUCCUUCAUUGGGGGUCUCAGUCCUAGAGAAGUGGAUCUUUCAUUCUCCAGGAUUCUGCCCACUCCACCAUCUUCUAGACCCUCUACAACUCCUCCUAUACCUGGAUGUCCUCCUCAAACCAGGGUCUCUGUCCUGAAAACCAUCCCCCCACUAAUACUUCUGAGUUGGCAUGUUGGUAAGAUCUUCCCAAUUUCUAGGAUCUGAAUGUGCCCAACAGACUGCAACUUCUCUACCAUGAAGGUUUGGGCUGAGGGGGCUCUGGCUCAUGAGUCUCUAUUUUGUUCAUGUCUCCUUUAGAAGCUGUUCUUUGGCUGGUCCCCAUUGCUCCUGCUCUGGGUUCUGUCUUGAGACUUCAUGGCUUUGACUAUCAGCUCUGUGCCUGUUCCACCCCCUAUCCCUGCUCUGCUCCCCUCUAAUGGAGCUUUUCCGAGUUGCCUCCUAGCAUAUUCAAACACCUAUGGGCUGUCCCUACAGGGGUCUCCUAGGUGCCCCGAACACGAGUUGGUCUUGGUGGACUUGACCAUCUCCCCUAAACUAGCUACACCUGCAAAUUCCUCCUCCUCUUCUGAUACCAUUUGGAGGGGAGCAUAAAAUAACACUUUCUCAGCUUCCAGAUAACCUUGCACAGAUGGUUCUCUUGCAGUCUCUGGGAUUUAAGCAGCUAUCCUGAAGUUUAUAGUGAGAAGGGGCUGAGGGUAAGCUGGUGUUCAUGUUGGGUUACAAAUCUGGCAAUACUACCACUAACGUGACUUCUAAGUGCAGUGGCAGCUCCUAAUGGGUCCUCCACCCUUCCAUCAACAUGUCUGAUAUCCGUCUCCCUGGCUGAGGCCCUUGGUGAUGGGAUCAGCAGUAAGUUGAGGAAAAGGAGGCCCAUAUAUAAACAUAAGCCCGUGGUGACUUGUAUCAGAUGAACAAUCUUGGCAAAUGAUACUCUCGUGAUCCUGAUCUGCAAGGCUGGCAAUCCUUGACCGGCUAGCUUUUUGGCUAGAACACAUACUAUUGAAAGCUCGGUGCCCACAAAAGCACCUAAAAACUGAAAACUUAGACUGGAUUAGAACUCGGGGUUUCUGGUGCUGGGAAAGAACGACCUUGGCAUCUAUAGCUAUGAAGCUUCCCAUGUACAGAAUGGCUGCCAGCAGUGCCCCUUCUCCAGUGGUACCCAGAAGUUCUGUGAUGGAUUUCCCUUGAAUGCUGAUGUCACUACUGAGACUUCGAAUUGUCCUCAUUCCUACAAAAAGUUCCCAAUGUUUCUAACUUCAAGUGACUAUCAGGUGACCAAUGGCUAAUGCUGCUAGUAAAAAUAGGUAGUUUCUGUAGAACUGUUGCUACAGAAUGUAGCAAUGUCUGGAUGACUUAGUCUGCCAUGCUUUAUGUACCCAGUACAUACAAAGGCUGGGGAUAACUUGGUGGCCACCUGCCAUGAGACUGGGAACUCCUCAAGGAGGAAGUUGACCUGGAGCAGCACGUAAGGGCAGAGCCUUUCAGUUCUGGGUCUCACCCAGUUGAAUGGAUUGUGCGGAGCUGAUCUGGCACUACACCUGAUCAAAACUACAGAUGUUGGCAGUAGUCUGUAUGACCCAGACAUCAAGGCAAUUCUGGCUCAGGACCCUUGUCUAACACUCGCUCUAGAAAGCCCUCUACUGAAGUGACCAAUAAAAGUUGAAUAAGACUUGUUUAGAAAAUGCUGUGAGGCCAGUCCUGUUAAAGUCUUAUAGGUCCUUCCAGAUGCCCAGUUCUGUGAAUAUAGUCUGGGGCCAGACUAGGUCUCUCCCCCCCCCCCCACCCCCCCUUUUUUUUAAACCUUAAGAGCAGUUCUAAGCUCACAAAAGAUGAGCAGGAACUAGAGGGACUUCUCAUAUCUGCUUCCUGCCUCACAUAUAUGCAUAGCCUCCCUCACUGAAUAUCUGCUACCAGGUGGUACACUUGUCAGUGAACCUACACUGACCCAUCAUCUCACACAAAGCUCUUAGUUGAUAUUGGGCUUAUUCUUUGUGUACACUUCAAUAGACAUUGUACAAAUGUGUGGCCCAUAUCCACCAUCACAGUAUCCUAUGGAAAAUUUUCCUGCCCUAAUAAAACUCUGGAUGAAAUGGUUUGUGCAUAGCAAACCUAAUAUGCUAUGGACUUGAAGAUCCUUCUCUGAGUUCAUUAGUGUGUGACCAGACUUUGGUCCAUAUAGACCUGCCACAGGCCUCCUCCAUACUGUUAUCCAUGGGACGUAGAAGAAGCUCAAAGGCUUCAAGUGCAUAAGGCAGGUGGUAAGGAAGUGUGUGCCAAAGACCAAACUGAUCUUUGGGGUCUGUGCUAGAGGAAGGAGAUGAAAUGUAAGCACAGUGCUGAACAGAAUGGUGGACAGGACCUAGGUCUUGCAUGGACUGGGAGCAGGGAUGAGUGCAAUCUGCUGACUGUAACAGGGACAUGCAGCGUGGGUAGCAUUUUUCCAUCUUCAGAGCUCCAGCAGACCUUGAGGAUGGAACAAGUUGAAGUCCCCUCCUGCAGGGCCUACUAACUACCAGACCCCCGUGAGAAAGCAGGCUCACCAGGUCUGAUGAGACGGGUAGAACACAUUAUUGUCCUUCCUCAGGGCAGUGUGGGUGCUGAAGCAAACAAAAACAAGGUCCCAUCAAUGUGACUGGCCAGCUAUGUGGUCACAUAAGAUGUCUUUUCUUUCAAGUAGAGAUAACUUAGGCUCACAAUAGUUCCAAAGAACACUACUAAGUUUCAGCAAACAAGUAGCCAGAGAAUAAACCACUGUUCCCAGGAGACUGGUCAAGGCUUCCUUCAAGCUGAUGAAACAAAUGUGUAGUGCUAAGGAGUCCUAUGUGAAAUAUAGCAGCUCUGGAAGCCUUAAGAAUUUGACUUCACUUGCUUGAGGCCAGCCCAGCCAAGGGUGCUUCCAUAGUGACUAGCAGGUACACAGGGAAAUCUGGGUCUCCAACCAUGUUCUCUAGGACCCUGUCACAAGGACUCCAAAUGCUGGAAUUGAGCAGAAACAGUGAGGCAGACUUGUAAAGUUUGGACUGUCUGAAUUUGCCGGUAUGACCUUCUGUCCUUUUCAAUGUUCCCCCCAGUUCUAAUCUAUUCCAUUCGUGAAAUGUUACAGUGAAUGUAUGUGUGAAAACCAGGGCCUGGAAGGUUGGAGUACAUUACCAACAAAUGAGAUGUCUUCCUUGUGCCUCCUCUGAUCAUUCUCAAGGGCAAAGCUAAUCAACGGUGAUAGAAGUAGAAAAACAAGUAGUCUUGAACUUCACAUACUAGGAUUCCAUUUCUAUAUGCUCGUUUUCCACACUUGUCUGAGACUUAUGCAUGCUGUACGUAGCAGUAGCUCCUUUCUACUGUACACGAUUUCCUUAUAGGAAUAUACUCUGCCUUAUCCACUGUCAUACACAGGGGGCACCAUUAAUUUUUAGCCAUCCCCAAGCUGUCAUGUUGGAUCUAGAACUGGUACACAUGCAUACCAGUCCUAGGCUGGGUCCUAGGCUUUAUGUGCUUGGCUUUGGGAUGGGGAUUGGGGCAGGGUGGGGGCACACCAGAACAGUCUUCCAAAAGGUAACUGAUUUUACACCAUUGCUAGAGCAACUGAAAUGCUCCUAUAUGUACUUGCUAGGGCUUAUAGAAUUCCUGCCUGGUGACUCAGCAGUGGUAUGUGUAGUAUCUUUAACUACUGAGGUUGUGUCCUAGUUACUUCUCCUGCUUGGGUAUCUAAAAUAUGCAAGGUGUUUUCAACGUGACCCACAACACUUCGUGGCAAUGAUGGGAAGAACUUCCAAGUCCCGUGGGCCCUUCACUAGGAUGUGCAUGUAUAGUCUCUGAAAGCUCCAGUGGCCAACUAGGGCCCUUUAGACUUCUGGGGUAGUUGAGUGUACUUAGGACACUAGUGUUUAACUGAACUAGCUAUAGUGAGUCGACUGGGGGGGGGGGGGGUCUCUGGUUCCUUUCAAAAUACAAAUAUAGGUGGAGUGCUUCUUACAUAAACCUAAGAAAUCGGGGGUUCCAAGAUACUCAAAAGAAAACCAGGCCACCCCUCCUUUCCAGGUCUUCUGAAGAUGGAGGUGAAUGUCAAGGGCAUAAGUCAUUGUAACCCUGUUACUCCUGGCUAAUGACUGUCACUGCUUCAAUAUAGAACAAGGCAAGGGCAAGCAUUCUUCCAUCUCUUCCAUAGUCUGAAAUAAGGGUAUUCACAGACUGAAAUAAAACUCCCUGGUGAUGUCUUAACCUAGACUGGAAAAUGAGGUUGCUAUGUGACCUCUUACUGCUGAAGGAAUCUGAACAGAAGGCAUCAUGCCUUCUAUCUCCUGAGCAGGACUCUGCUCCCCAGAGUGUAACACGUGGGCAGGGAAAAUACGUUAGUGGCUCUCUGGAUACCUGGAGCUACAUGUAGUUUAAGAAAACCAUGGUAGAGCACUGCAGAAGUCCACUUCUUCCACAGCCUCCUACGGAGCUUAAGGCAGCUCAGGCCUUGGAUGGCCCUGGGAAACGGGCUGAAAAUGUGCAAGGAAAGCUAUAGCUAAUAGACUUCACACUGGGUUUAUUUUCCUCUAGGACUCUGGCUCCUAGGCCUAUGGCUGGUUCAAAGAGUCUCUUAAGACUGGUGCCUACUCAGGAGUUGCCCAAUAGACCAUCCCUAGAAGAUCCCUACUUCUCAAGGCUGAACAAUUAGCUUCUCUGAAUAGCAACUCCACACCUAUUUGGUUGAUGGUUUUGGAGCUCUAGGAAGCCUGGCGAGAUAGGACCUCUUCCCAGUUCCUCUAGGAAACUGGCUUCCACCUACACAAGCAGGUUUCCGUGUGGUUCUUGGGUCUCAACCCAGCUCUGUGCACUGACGGCCACAUCUAGGUGGGUGACUUGUUGCUGUACCAGCAAAAUGUGUGCGUUAAACCAGCAAAGCUAAGUCCACCAGUGUCUCCCAUUGACUUUUCUGGCUUGUAUUUUCUCCACUUGAAUAGCAAGUGCAUGAUCGGUGGAAACCUAACCCAUUAGUAUCCUACAGAACAGAACAUUAAGUGAAAACAACGUGGCCUAUAGCCUUUGGAUGCUAACUUCUUCAAAUACAGAGUACUUCCAAUGCAUUGUGGUGAUUUUAAAGAACAAGUGUGCCUCUGCCAGCGAGGAGACCAUGCCCUAGUCGGUGAGGAAGACAAUGUAGUCAAAGGGGUAUAGAGUGUAAAGUUUCAAGGCAGAGAUCAUGCAAGGCCUUAGGGACUCCAAAGACUUCGUCCCCUACUUAAAACUCAACAGUACAUUUCCAUUUUACUCAAAAAUGAGGGCUUACUUUUAAGGCUUUCACUGGCUCUUUGUAGAGAACAGGUGGUAGGGAGGACAAAACCAGUUGAGUAUCCCGUAGAAAUCAAAACAUAGUCAUGAUUCAGUCCAGAGGGGUGCAUGGGAAUAGAGAAUGGACUGAAACUAGAAUGUUUUGAAGGAAAAAUAGACAACUGCUUUGAUACUCAAGUUAGGGAGACCACUAUGAGGAGAAAGUCAGAAGUUGGGCAAAAGUUUGAGAUCCAUAAGAGCAAAUAGCUGUUAAAAGCAAACUGUAUGAGGUUUAAACUCUCCCCAUAUUCUCUAUGCAGAGUGUAGUGAAGGAGUUAUGUUCUUGUUUUUGUUUUCCUUCCGUGUCAGGUAAAUGGAGGAAGGAUGAGCCAACAGUGUUUGCAAGCAAGUCGUUAUGGGGGAUGGGUCUCCCAAACUCUGUUCAGAAAGGUUUACUGGCAAUUGACACUGGCUGUCAAACGGUAGGACCUGCAUUGAUAUCAGAGUAAAAUAGUGUCAAAACUUGAAGGCCGUCCCUUUUAAAACUCAAGAUGGCGUCUACAGGCAGCUGUGGGUACUGACAGACUCUAGGUGGAGUAGACAAGCCUCUUCUUAGAUGGGAUCUCAAAACCAGAAGACCAACUGCUCUGGAUCCUCUAAAUGCAUGUUGAAGUAGCCAUGGGUGACCUGUGGUGCUGAGGACAGAAGGGAGAGCAAGAGGUAAGUACAGUCAGUGAAGGGAGUGGGGGUGUCCCUGUGGGAUCAGAAGAUUCUUGGAACAACUUGGAAAAACAAGGUGGAAAAUGAUGCUUGGGCUCUAGAGAUGAGGAGUUUGAGGGAGAAGUGAGGAAUGUCCUGGAGUUGCUAGGAAAACUUGCACCCAUCUCUAAACCCAGUAACUUCAGGGAUAUAAGAAGUCCUAAGCAGAGGUGGUACACUCAAAGGGGCAGCCAUGUUUGUUUCCCCAAAAUAACGUCCAGAGGAGUUUGGGGAUCUAAACUCUGCCAGAGGAAUACCAGAAAUCCCCGACCCCCCCCAAUCAAAUGUUUUGGGGCAUCGGGGGGCCUGGAUGGCUCAGUUGGAUACGCGUCUCUUGAUUUCAGCUUAGACCAUGCUUUCCUGGUUAAGAUUGAACCUCUCAUCGGGCCCUGCAGAGCCUGCUUGGAAUUCUGUCUUCCUCUCUGCUCUUCCCUCACUCCUUCAAAAUAAACCUUUAAAAAAAAAAAAAAAAUGCCCCAGGGCAUCAUACUAGGAAUGAUGAGUCCAGACAAAUAGUAAAGAUGGGAUCUAUGAACCUCUUCAGACUCUAUCUUCUUGACCACCACAACUUUAAAACAGUCUCCUUGUGCCUCUUCUGCCUUCUGACUCUUGAGGCUGAUCUAGAGCCUGCAGUUCUAAAUCCCUCCUCCCUACAAGCACAUUCUCACUCACUGUAAAGAAUCUGACUCCAAUUACCUGACUCUUUUAAAAAUACACAAUUGAUGUGAAAACUGACUUCCCCAAUGGUCAUCCCUAAAUUCUCCUCCCUGGAAAUCACUGCACAUGUCCUCUAGAAAUGAGGGUCUGUUCUUCAUCCCUAAUGGAGUUGGUCUGUACCAUGCUAAUAGGGUUUCUCCUUUCCCCCUCUUCUGCUAGGUGAUCUUGUCCUAUAACAUCAGCACUGACCUCCCUAACUCUGAAAAGAGGGACUCCCAGGGAACCAAGGAAAUGGAUGUGUCAUCAGGGAGAAAAUCUCUGGCCACAAAUGCCCAGUGUUUCCUGUUAGAAUCAAAUAUAACCAGACACCAAAGCUUAAGGAGCUGGAGCUAGGAAUCCUUUCACUUGGGAUUGGCUGAUUCCCCCACCUUCUGGACCUGUGGUGUGAGCUUUGACCCUCAUGUAUAUUCUGUCCUCACUAGGAGAGGACUCUGAUAGAAUCCUGUAGAUGAAGUAGUAGCAUCCUACCUAGGGAAGUCCUGUGUUUCUGCAAGAAUCCUUGGUUUUCUUGGCAAGGUCAAAAGGAUUGUGCCUUUUUAGCACUAUGUUGUCUUUAAUUGGCUAACCUGAAAAGUACCUUCGAAUUUCUGAGAUCGCAGGGUCUUAGGGAAAUAAGGUGUGUAGUUUUCUUAGCUUUAUCCAGGUACAUCUUACAUAAAACACAAAGUAUGCUUUGAGUUUGGACACCUGCAUAGACCCAUAAUACCAUCACCCUGAUCAAGGCAAGAGUAUUUCUAUAAGUGUACACACACCAGGCACUAUUGACUGGAUCCUACAGGGAACCAAGGGAAAGUUAUGCAGAGAACAUGGUCUAUGGUGAUCAGUGAUGCUGGCAAGAAGGCGUUAGGGAGGCUGAGUCCACGAGAAAGGGAAAACUCUUGAAAGGGAUAUGUCCAAGGAGGAAGCCUGUGGCCCUGGUAUGGGGUAGUGGAAGCUGGUGGAUAGGGCACAAUCCCCAUAUCUCCUCACAAGGUGCCCAAAUAAACUUGGAAAUGUUGAGGCUAAGAUAGUUCAUGUCCACACUAUAGUGUGGUAAAGAUGGCCUUCUGGUGAGGACAACAGGCCACUUCCUCUAGGGUUACAGCUGGCUGGACUCCACUCCUAGGGCACUGGCACCACCACUGGUGUCAGGUGAAACAGGAUUCUUGGUGGUCCUCUGGAUGAACACCCAAUGCUGCUGGGAUUCCUGGCCACACAAGGCCAAGUUUGUCUUCUGAAGACUGCAUCUGGCCUAGAUCAAAAGACCCAAUCCCCGAGACAUCCCUUUACCAGCUCCUCCCUUAAGUUUAAGGGACCUUAACAGGUCUCAGCAGGUGGUGGACCCCCAGCACAAUAUGGAGGAUGAAGUCUGGCAUUAAGCUCUCCAAACCCUUUCCAACCAGGCUGAGGUGGUGAGAGUCUUGAUGGUCCUGUGUGAACUAAAGAAAGCUAUUAUUACCCCCUGUGAUCAAAGUUCAAACUGGGACCAGAGAUGGACCAGUCAGGAAUAAUCCUCAGACUCCAUCCAAUAACCUGGUAAAGCUUGUCUUCCAGACCUGAAAUGGCUUGGUCUUAAAUCUUUGUGUUGUACUGGCAUUCUGCUGUGAAGAAUCUUGUGAUUGCUUAUGUGUCAGAUGACCUCCAGCUUAUGACCAUUUGGCCACUGGAAAGUUCUAGGCACUUGGUGACCCCUCUCUAGGCAUUUAUUGCUACCAGGACCCAGGCACAAGAGUUGACUUUCAAACUAGUGGGAGUGGACGUGUUGCUUCUCCAGGAAUCUGUUGUGAUCAUCCAGCUGGGGCUUUUCAGCAGCUCCACACCAUAAUUCUCUGCCAUUGAUCCUUCCUGUGUUAAGUCUCUUGAGAUGUAAAGACUACGUGGCCUGGCAGCUCCUAUCCUGGCCUGGGUGAAACACAGCCUCAUUGCUGUGUGUGUCCAGCUCUGAAAUAGCUAUAAGGGUAAACUGUUCCAUGGAUCCAAGCAGCAUCCUCAAAUGUGCAGCCUUCCAAUUCUAAAGGUGCCCAUGAGGCAAUGCUUCUUCAUGUUAGCACAAAGACCGUAACUUGCCCUCCUCUUGAAGUCAUCCUGACAAGUUCCAGAUCCCUGAACACCGCAAUGACCCUGAGUCAUGCCUUUCCCUAGAGAAUCCUGUGUGCUUGAAGCAACCCUAGACUUUAUCCCCCCUAACCCCAAGAAGCAGGGUCCCCUAGCUUCACAUGGACAAAGUGGAGCUCUGAUCUGCUUAGCCAGGUGACCUCUUACUAGCCAGAGGCACUAGCUCCAUGAACUCAAUUUGCUUGGGAAAGCCAUUGCCUAGAGUUGGGUUAAUGGUCAGGGUCCGUUCUGGGCCUCCCUUGCUUUGACAGGGCCUCCAAGGACGUGGCUAUUCUGCCUGGCACUGUUCUGGGCCCUCUCCUUUGGAGUAGAUGAGGGCAACAGUGUUAUACUAAGUGCUAUACUUGUCGUUGGGGCUGUAACCAAGACCGUGACUGGAUGCCAGUGCUCAGGCUAGAUGUUCUGCCCAAUGAGAUCUCUCCUUGACUAGAUGGUCAGCCUUAACUCCUGAAGGGACUUUCCUAGAAGUUUUUCCUGGGAUACUUCCAUGUGGAAAUCACAUAGAACCUAGAAGCUGGAGGCUGACCCAGGUUCCUGCAUGUUGCUGGAGUAGGGGCACCUCAAUGAUGUCAAAGUGGGUCCUGUUUCCAGACUCCUUGGUUCUGUUGACCCAAUCUGAACAGAGAAAAUAGAUUAUUUCUACUGACCUACAAGUUCAUGAAUUCCUUCCUCUGUCCUCCAUUCUACUAGAGUCCAGUGAAUUUUAACUUUUCUUGUUCUAGAACUGAAAUAUAGGUCUAUCUUCUAACAAUCUUAUAAUUCUAAUCUGUGUUCUCAGUGUUCCUCUUGUCAGUCUUUCCCUUCAAGCUGAAGUUUUCCUGGUCCUCAGGAGUAAUUUUGGGCUGUACUCCGAGAAAUCAGGCUUACAAAAUGCAAGCCUAUUCUCCCAUUUGAGCAGGUAGUCAACCUGUCUGUUCAGAACACACAUCCCUUUCAUGAGCUGUGGAUCAAAUGUCAAUUCGGCUAAUGAAGCUCCUGCAGAGCUAUUCUAGUCGAUCCCACCUGUGUUGCCCAGAUGACAAGACUCUCCCAGGCAUCCCCUCUGCACCAGCUGGGAAGGGGGAGGUGGGCUGCUGCCCACAGGCUCUGGGAGAGGGGCACCUCUUUCUCACUGCAGGGAGUAGAAAAGCAACUUCCUCCCAUGAACUCUGCUAUAAUAAUGCUCGUUACAGUUGGGAAAAGGCUUGAUUUUAUUUUUCUCACCCCAAGAACUGGUAGGUGUGAUUAAAGCAUUCUUGUCAUGUUGGGUGCCCUUUUUCCAGGCUUCUGGCUGGAGAGAAUAGCUGAUGAUCCUUGGUUAUUUCUUGUCUGUGCCUGUUGGCAUUUCCUGGCUGCAGCACUCCCCAGUGUCCAGGCAAGGGCAUCUAGGAGCUCAGACAACAACCCAGGAAACUCUCAGCUGGGUUGUUGUUGGCAUCCCAAGGUCUCCAGCCAGUAUGCCUUCUCUGCUACUUCCAGCAUCUUGUCAGUGGCUUACUCGGGGAGCCGGCCAUUUUUAGGCAAAACUGUGAACUCCAGCUGCUGACUGCAGGGAAUGGACUCCUCAAGACCACGAAAGCACACCAGUUUGUACUUCCCCCAACUACUAUACUUCAGUAUUGCUUAGCAGCCAAAUAAAUGCUUGUUUAUCUUCAUCCUUUGACUUCUGGACCUUAUGCCUAUCUUACGCUUAAGCAGAAACAAAGCAAUCCUGGGUGUGUUUUCUCAGACUCUGACUACUGCUGGGAAUAUAACAACAUGUUUUAAUCCCCUCUUAUUCACCCAUGAAUGAACAAGUGAACUUCCCAUUCUGUAGGGAAACAAUUGGGCAGACGAGGUCAAAGUUUGUCUUACAUACAGCCUAGGUGAGGAGGACACCUGCCACAUGGGAACAGAAUCGGGGGAUGCAUGAGGCAGGCUCUGUAAUGAAUAAAAGAUGGGUGUCCCCUGGUUUCCAUGGAGGAUGUUGUUCGCUUGUCUGAAUAAUACCAUGGUCUGGCAGAGAACUGAAACCUGCCACUCAAGGAUAAGCAGGGGUUGUUCCUGGUCCUCCCUUAAGGGUUGUUUGGCUGGACCCCUUCUCCACGGAGGCAGAGUCCAGUAGGGAAACUUGUGGUAAGGCCCUCCUGGCUUCCCCAGAAAACAAGGCAGCACCUAAUCCUGAGCCUCCAUCUCAGGCCUUAAACAACACUGGAGGAACCAUCAUCUUUAUCCUUCUGCAGCCAAUGUGAUAGCUCCUCCUUCAAACACCUCAGAAGGCAAACUUCCUUCAAUGGAUUCCUUCUUCUAGUCCUUCAGUUACCCUCACAUUAACACCAUCUCCAAUUCUACAACCUCUUACCAACAUUCGGGACUGCUGCUGAGUUUAUUCCAACUCUAUCAGCUAAGCCCAGCUCAUCAGGAAUAUAUGCUAGUAGUGGGUAAGGUUUGAAGGAGCCAGACGAUUGCAGAUGGAGUUCUUGCUUUGCAAGAGUGGCAUAAUCUAAAGACCCUGCCUACCUGGUGGGUCAAGAUCUAGGCUAAGUCCGUGAUAAAUGAUACUUGCACUCCCAAUACAUGGGUGUCCAACCUGGGUACUAUGCUGAUACCAGGCUUCUAUCUGCCUGCCUCCCACCCCAAGUAUUAACCCUUUGUAUUGGAGCUGAAAUAAUACACUUAAAACCACCUCCCCUCCAGUAGACAUCCUUACCUAAUAGACCUCCAGAAACCUCCAAAAUGAGGCAAGCAGGGGGCUACUCAGGAGAACUUCCAAGAGCAAGGUUUCCUCCUGUUGCAUCCUGUGCAAGCUUGAAUUCCCAUGGUAAGACUAAUACAGAUGGAAAGUGGCCAGUAAUUUUUGUCACCCCGGUGGUAGAGGCUCUUUUUAGAGGCCCCAAAAACCUAAAUUCACUAGCCAUAGUUGUGGUGCAUAAUUUCAUUGUACUUGAUUCUUAGCUGGGCAAGAAGGAACUGGAGGCUAGCACAAACACCCUUCUUGCUGGAACUACGUAGACAUGGUCAAGAACAAGUCUGUCAGUUAAAAGAAAAACCAUCUGGUUCUCCAUAACCGACCCAGUUGGAUUUUUGGAUGUGUUUUCGACAUGAGCAGCACUUAGUAACCUAGUCUCUAGCUACCAGGCCUGAUAAGAACUAAUAAGCCUUCUGUUUCCAGUAAUUUGCUAUUACAGUUGGAUUAUGAAUCCUACCCAGAGUCCUUAAAGCAACUGUACAUCUGUUAAGUCAGAUGUUUCUAUAUCUUAGACUAAAGUCACUCCUACUCCUUUAAUUGCCUGACUACAGACUGCACUCCCAGGAAAACUUUCUAAUUGGAAUUGCUGCAAUGGUUAGGAUCUGGAUGGUCUUACUUCUCCUGCCCUUGGCCAAAGGAGGUCAACAAGAGGGAGAGGGAUGGAAAGAAUCCUGAUCGUUCUAGUUGUGCUACCUGUUGAAAGCUAGUAGUUUUACAGAAUAACAAGAUUAAACCUGUCACUUCACAACAAUGAUAAAAUGAGGCAUUAAUAAGAUCCAUCUGUAGUUGGCCACACACCCACAAAAAACAGGCGCAAAAUGCCAGUGACUAGCGAUCCUUAACAAGCAUGGUUUUUCUCUGAAUCUUGUAUUUCUGUCCUAGUUCACUGUUGUGUUCUCCAUAAGAUGUUGAGAAAUGGUCUGAGGAGGAUGGAUUUUUAUUAGGCCUAGAACCUGGGUAAAGAAAAGGAGGAAGGACUAGGUAGAGAAAACAGAACUUGGGCUCAAGUCCAAAGCCUUGGAUCAAACUGGCCAGGUCUUCUGUACUCUCACCUGUUGGUCACUGGGUGUUAACACUAAGAAGGGGAUGACUUGUGGGGAAAGUGGCUCAAAUAUGGCAGACCCUGAAGGAGCUGGCAGCUGGAAGUAGCUGGGUAGCCUCCCUCACCACAGGUGGGCAGCAAGACCCUAUUUAGGAAGGGACCUCUAUAUUCAUGAUGAUACUUGAGCUCAUGGAGCUGACCAGUCUGCACUGGCUAGAGAACAGCUUCUUAGACUAGUAAAUCCUAAGAUCAACUCCAUCUUUCUCAAUCAGUCUAAAUACCUGACUUUAGGAAGAGGCUUCCAUUUGGUGUGGUCUUAGUUUAUGGCUUCAAGAUGAAAUUCCUACAAGAGGUCUUGAGCAAACUAGUAAAAUCCAUUGGGCAUGCUGAAGUAGGGCGAUGUGCCAAGACCAGAGAAGCUACAGAAUGCAGGUCUUUGGCUAGACUGCGGUUCCCCAAGGGAUGGCCGAGACUUGGAGUAAUAGCUCCUGUUAGAUUAUAAGGUUAAGGGACUUAGAGGUAUUGGUGAAGACGAGGAAUCCACUGGUAGAAGGAUCUUGACAAAAAGGCAAGUGAAAGUCAGAAGCUGGUGUGAAAUGAUAAAUGAUCCAGGAAAAAAACAAAUUCUCUUGCUCUCCAGUACCCUGAUCUGUAUGGGAGACAGAAGGUGGAGGAGAGCAGACUUGACAUUUCUGGGGCCAGUGAUGACUUUAUGAGCAGGGUAUGGGCUACUGGUGCAGGCAUUUACCAAAAUGGAUUAAACAGCACACUUAAGACCUGUGCAUCUCUGCAUUCGUGGCUUUUAUUUCAAAGGGAAAAAGCUGGAAACCACUAUUGAACUGGAAUAAGCAUAUUAAUCUGAUGUACUUAAGGCAAAGGCAGCUGAUACCUGUAACUCUGAAAUACAUCAAAAGUUAGAUACACAACAAAUAUCAAAAUGUUAACCAUAAUAACUAGAGGGGCAAUAUAGAAUUUCAACUCUUCUGUACAUCCAAGUUCUUAAUACUAAAAGGGGUAAAAACAAAAAAUCCUGAAAGUCCAAAGCUGGUGACCUAAUCCCUUCUGCAUUAGCAUGACUUCACGUGCAGAAAAACAAGAUCUUGCAGGACCUCCCAUGGUUCCUCUUUUCCAAUGGAUUAUAUUAACCCAUACGUACUACACUGCUGCUGGAAAUAGAAGAAAAAUCCUCCAUCACCAUAGGACCUUCUAGAUAAAAUUAAAAUAGGCAAUUAAUUGGCAAGUACUUCAUAGACCUUGUGUCUUAAUUGUCACCGCAGACCUAGAGGGAGUACUCUGAAACAGCACCUUCCUCACGUGGACACUUAAGCCUUAAAUUACUCUAAAGACUUCAACUAAAAAUCCAUCUGUAGGAUUCAAUUACUGGAUAAAUCUGGAGUUAGGUGCAAUUUUGUCUCGGUAACAGAUCCUUUAUUUCUAAGUUAUAAAGAAUUUGCUCAGAACCUCUCAAUUGAUCACCAUACUCCUUUAAAUUCAAAUAAGAUUGCAAAUUAGCAUAACAUGAAGUAGAAAAACAUCCUAGGUUCAUUAGGGUCAGGAUAUGGAAAGUUCCCGUACUUUUAUGUUGGUCUAGCUUACCACUUUCCUGUAAACCUCUCAGACGUGAUCAUGCUAAUAACCUGUAGCAAAAAGGAAAACUUGAUCAGUGCUAAACAGAAAAACUGACGUGCAUACCUUGCAGUAGAAAUCAGUAUUGCACAUGACCAUGAACUGAAACUGUAAAUCGCCAAAACAAACUUGGAAGUGAAAGACCAGUGGGUGUGUAGCGAGGCCUGGCCUUGGGCACAAGGACCCAAGGCAAGGGUUCCGCUAACCUGGCUAAAGUGUCCUCUCUGCCACCAUGAUGUUUCUACCAAACUUUUUAAACUUAAAUGGGACACCUGGGUCUGUGGGCUUUCUCCAUUCUGAUUAGUGUUGAAAGAAACCAGCUCACCUGUGAAAGUAGAGCCUUCUGUGUGUAGUUUUAGCUAAACUUCUAAGGACUGGUUUCUUUAUAAUGAGAAACUUCUAAGAGGCCUCAAGUAUGAGAAAACCAUAGAGUUGGUGAAGGAGGCACAUGUUGGGUGCUGAUCUCCAAGUUCAUGUUCAGUCCUAAUUGAAUGAUUCUGCUAGGGCUUCUGAAAUAACAGCACAUUCUGAAUGCUGCACAUUCUCCAUAUUCCUGCUAAGGUUUGGGGCUGUAAAACCUAAGAUAAGGGCAUUCUGUGGUUCUAGGAUAAAUGGUGGGGGCUAAAUACUCGACCUGCCCAAAAGCCUGGUUUCCUGGUCUUGGGCUAAGGUUGAAAAGGCCCCAACACAGCUAGGAUUAGCCUUAACCUGGAUGCUACUUGCAGAAAGAUAGGGGAGGAGAGGGAAUAUGUGAAUGGCUAGUCUGGUUGCAGGAAUCCAAUUCCUGAGCCUCCUAAACCCUCUAUGUCCACAUGACACACUAACUGGGCACCUCUGCCUAUAGUUACCAAAAGCCAAAUUCCUCAGCUUGAUAAGAAAGCCAGUCAUGGGUCAUGGAGCACCAAGCUUCGUAAAAACUAGGCUCUUCUGGGAGGUUGCUUCUCCCCUGGUGGAGUAGGCUCCAUGAUCCUUUAAUUCUUGCUCCUGGGAAUCUUCUGGCCUGACGUGAAGCUGGGUUCAGAAGCCAGCAUCUCCUGGGUAUUGCAGCAGGCUCUUCUGGAGCGUGGUGCUGAUUUCUACCCCCUGCCUGGGCUCUGCAGGUGGGACAGUCUUGGCUUCCUUAGUUCCUUGGCUGUGAAGGCCUUACCAUGCAUACCACUCUUCUGAUGAGAGUGAUCAGAUUUCUACGGUGCAGUCCAGGGGAACCAGGCUAAAAAAAAUCAGCUAAUGUGUGCCUACACGAGCCAGGAAAGUACACGUAGGACCAGAUCCUGAAGAUGCUUGAUCAAAGGACUUGAAUUCACAUGGGAUGAGGGAGUUCGUCAACUUGGAGCCACUUUCUUUGAAUAUACUCCAAGACCUCAUGGGACAGUAGAAACUCAUUGGACAGAACUUGCUCAACACAGAUCUCCUUGCGCUUCUAAGUGAAAUGCUUGUUAUCCUGGCAACAGGAAAAGGGACCAAGGGGGUCCAGUGAAGUAAGAAUGUUGGGGGACCAUAUAUUAUGACCCUGGAAAUUGAAUGGAAGAUCAUACCCAUGUGAAGGCCUAGAGGUAAACGCCAUCAAGAACCCAUUGGUGAGAGGGACACAGCAACCCCAAGUACAAAGAUGGCUUCUUGCAAGAUUGGGCUGUGGGCAGGAGGAGCGGUUCAUGGAAUCUGGCUCGCUCACUAGCAAUAGAUUAUUCCACACCCCUAUACUGACCCAAACAAUAGAAGUCCAAGAACACUUAACUGUUGUAGCCAAGAAACCAUGACUUUCAAAGAACUGUGGAGAUGAUUAAGAGAAAAUGUCAGAUACUAAGCGGUACAUCUGGCUGAAUAUCUAGUUUUCCCUGUGCAUAGGAUCGAAAGCAAGAAUGAGGAGCAAGGGACACAAUAGUUGGAGUCAAGAUCUCCUGGCCCAAUUCCUGGACCUGACCAUAUGCAUUCAGUUUUCUCCCAGGACUGUGCAAAAUUACCUGUUCUUCUUAAACUACAGACUGUCAAUGUGAAUUUCUUGACUUUCUGCAGGAUGUUCUGCUAGUUCAGUGUCCUGCUAAUCAUGCAUGAUGAGUAAGAAGUAGUUAAUAUGCAGGAGGCCUAGGUAUAUUGUUCCAACCCAUAUACUGGAUGACCUGAAAGAAACUUCCAGCUUUGUGUGAGAUUGUGAACAGGAAAGGACACUACAAGGGGCUUAGGCUGUAGAGCAAAUGGCCUUGACAUUACACUUGGGCUACAUAAUCAGGCAGACUCCAGGGUGAUGAAGAUGUCAGUGGUAGGGAAAGGGGGCAUGGUGGAGUUCACAGAAACCUGCCAUGAGAAAAUCACAUGGUCGGUCCCCAAGGUUCUACAGGUACACCAUCUGCAUCUAGCCCUGCAGAGAACUAUCUUAAAGCAAAAUAAUGGCCUAUCGUAUGUGAAGCUGAAGCACCAGUUUCACAAUGACGUAAGGAUGGGUGCCACCCUUCAGGAUUAAUAGAACUCUCUAUGGUGUUCUACCCCAAUAGAAACAACUUAGAAACCAAGGGGGGUGGAAAUAAGUCACGCCUAUUUCCAUCAUUCCUAGUGACCCAUGGGGGACUUUGUCUUUACCAUCUCAAAUUCAGCCCUGCAUGGAUGGAGGCUCCAGCCUCAAGAGAGGGGCUUGGGGAAAAGGGUGAGAGAAUGGUUCAUUCCUGCCAGGGAACACAGCAAGUUUCCCCUUGAGCCAUGAGAUACCACUGCAGCCCAGGCACUUUGAAUUCCUUGCAUCCUGGAGCCACAGGCAAGAAAGGCCACCAUUCCAAAAGGGAUGGCUGACCCUGGCUGAUCAUGUGGAGGUAUGGAGCUGCUAGUAUAUAAGGAGGGGAGAGAGUACUCAAGUGAUCCAAUCGGAUGCUUCCUGGUAUUCCCUUUCCCAGUUAUGACUAUGAAGUAUAGCAACCCAGCCUGAGAAGGGUAGGUCUACUGGGGACUCAGACACUCUGGGGGUGAGGGUUAAUUCUCUCCUCCUAAGCCAAUGAGGGCAGCAAAAGUGAAUGGCUGAGGGUCAUGGAGUUCCUUCAAUGGAGAUGGGAGAAGGAGACUGAGUCCUGGGACCAAAUGCAGGAACGGUAGCUGUGCAUCACCUUGCUCUAGCCCUUUGCUGAGUUCAGGAAGGAGGAGGGUCCUACCAAGGGCCAGGAAGAGCUGAUCCCCAAAACUCAGACCAUAGAGGUAUCCCUCUGCCCUAUACUCGAUCUGCUUCAGACCAUGGCCAAUGUGAUUCAGAUUUCUGGAAGAACUUCUGCCUGCCAGUCCACAAGUUCUCCAGGAGUGAUGCUCAUGUCUUCCUUGGAAGGGUAUUGAUCCACUCUUGAGAAACGUGGAGGCUCCUGACUCCCCAUCAACAAGAUGUCUAUCCCUUAGCUGAUCCACAGAAAUGAUGCCAAUCUGUCCCACAGAGUCUUAACACAGCGUUUAACAAAACGUAUGUUGGUGCUUUAGUAUCAGAAGAGGUGCUUCCAUCGAAAGAUAAUUCAGUGGCCCUGAAAAUGAAGUAGAUUGAUGGAAUACUGAAGAAUUGGAUACUUGGAGCAAAGGGCAAAUAGAUGGACUUCUUUAGAGUUGCUUUUCUCAGGCAUCCCACAAUUUGAAAAGCUGCCUUCCUGUGGCAUCUGAGCAUCUGAUCCUAGCUAUAAGAAUUAGAUAUGGAAGUCACCAGUGAGUGGAUUUGAACUGCUCAUUCUCAGGAGGACAGUAAUAUAAGGAAACAAGUCUUCUAAAUUACACUUUCCCCCUGUACUUGCACUGAAAGUAACGGAUCCCACAGAGGACAACACAUGCCUCCGAAUGUGGGUAGCCCUUACAAUGGAGGGGGAAGGUCCCCUGUGAUCAUUAGAACAGGAGACCCUUUGUGGGAUCAGGUGCUCAACAACUCCCCUGCCACUAGUGGAGGGUGGAGCUUCCUGAUGCUUGCAUUGUCAGAUCUCCUUGUCCUGGAACAACCCGUAUACCAGGCUCCAUGGGCACAGACCAAGCCCAGAAGGUACUACAAAUAAAGGAUUACUGGGGUCAAAGAAAGCCCUCCAGGCAGAAAAAGGCCAGUGGAAAUUGGUACCAAGACUUUAGCAGGAAACUGCUCAGAGGAACUUAAAAUGGAGACCUUGUACAUCCUAUGUGUCUGACAGACGUACAGUGACGUUAUUUUAUCAUAGGACUUUUUCACUACCCCAAAAAUCCCUGUGAUCCACCAACCAUGGACCCCCUGAAAUAAACUAUGAACUUGACGACCUUAAAACCUCACUGGGUAUUACAAGCAUACAACCCUGAUGGGGGAAGUUGAUAAUGGAGGAGCCUAUGUGCAGGUGAGGUGGGAGUUAUAUAGAAAACCUCUGCCUUCCUCUGUUUUGCUAUGUACUUAAAAUUGCUUGAAAUCCCACGUUCCCCUCUGGAGCAUGGCUCUGUCCAUCUUCUAUGUCUGACUGGGGGAUCUCUCUUGGAGUUAAGUCUACAUAUGGAACCUCUUAAGAUCACCCCCUGAGCUCUCCAGAAUCCCAUGCCGGGGGGGGGGGGGGUGUCUGCUGUUCCAGGGCUAGACUCAUGGCUGCAGGUGUACCAUGAGCACAUUAGUUGAUCACUGUGGGGUUAACUGCCUUCUGAAGGGAGAGCUGCUUCAUGGUUACUCACAAUGUGAACACAUUGUACUUGAGACUCCAUAGAAUGACUUAUUCUAGGGAUAUAGAGUGUGCUGGUGAUAAUCUUGUAUGAACUCCAGGAUUUUUCAACCCUCUCCUUACUACUUUGACAAGUUGGCCUGUAGAAGGUUGACCUACUUUCACACCUGGUUGAAACACCAUGACCAAUGGGGUAUGGUAUCUGGAUUCCUAAAGAAGAUACUGAAGUAUGGUGUCAAGCUUCACAUGGGAUAAACCCUUCACCUACAAGGAGAUGGCAGACAACAGGCUGACCAAUUCUUCCAUGGGCUACUCAAAGUGCAAUCUCUUUGUGACUUUUCUGGACCUGGUGAACAAAUCUAACUUAACACCUAUGUCAACAUGUAGUUAUGUGACCGGGUAGCUAGAGGGGGCAUGCACAGUUACCCGUCACUUCACAUCCUUUUCUCUGGGCAGAGGAGUCUACCCAGACUGGGUCUAACUGUAGACCUAACCAUUUUGAGCAAAUGGGGGAACUCCAGGGCACAGAUAGCCACUAGAAGCCCAGCAUAGGGUAGAGAUGCAGAAUCCUUGGCAGAGUCUGCCUAGGAAAGCUACCCACUCUGAUCAAAUACUGGGGUGACUCCUAAAAUUACUACUGGAGGCUGUCCAAGGGUUCUCCUUGCAGGUGAACACCUUCCUCCUUAAAGACUCAAGGCAUGUACUCUGGCUGCCCUAGUCCUCACCUGUGCCAUACAGGUGUUCUUGAUAUGUGUAGAGCAGCUUCCCAGCUCUAGAAGGCAAACUUAGAAAUGAGAGGUUGGAGUGAACUUGUGCCCCUUACUGUGGGUGGUCUUGGGCCACAACUGUACACAUGCUUUUGCUCCUCCACCAUCCAUUCUAAAUCCUCUCCUCCUCAUACCUCCCCUGGUCUCAGUGACUGAUUUGAUGCGACUCAAACCCUCCUUAAGGUUCUGAGCCCCUGAUAAAUCUCAGGCUGGUGUUUCUGUACUAGUCACCCUUGGUUGAGAGAGCACCAUGAAUGGAGUAUGAUGUGUCCAAGAGGACUAGUCAAUGUCAUGGAUCCUCCAUUCUGCCUGGUGUCACAGAAACCCUACUAUGUCUUGAUCAGAGCCAAUGCCUCUACCAGGAUAGUGACCCUUCUUGCCUGCUGGUUCUGGACACAGGGAGCCCAAAAUACCCGGUAACCAUUAUGACUGAAAGGUCAACAAGACCCUUUGGCCGAGGAACAUAACCUAGUCCUUGAGGAAUGUAACCUAGUCUAACCCUGUAGAGGCAAGAGUUGCAGGGACAGGAAGCACAGUCUCCCAGCAGGUCAUUGGGAGUUAUGGCAAGUGGCGGCCUCUGCUGUUUUAACCCCUUGGUUCCUGUACCUGUGUCCCUUCCACUGGAGACCAAGCACCCUAGGGACCUGUUUCUGUGCAUCCUGGAGGAUGGUGCCUCUCCUUGCAGAGGAUUGCCUCUGAGCUGGUGCUUCAGCUAUGCCUCCAGGAGGCUAUUCCAACACUCUCAGGCCAGCACCCUUUUAAAGGCACAUCUAGGAUGCAGCCACUAUAUCCAAGAGUCUCUCCAUCAUUGUCCCUCAUAGGAGAAACCUUAGACACAGCCAAGUCCCCAAGGUAGCUCACGAUAUAUAUAUUUUUUUUAAUGUUUAUGUUUGAGACCGAGCAUGAACGGGAGAGGGUCAGAGAGAGGGAGACACAGAAUCUGAAACAGGCUCCAGGCUCUGAGUUGUCAUCACAGAGCCCAAGGCGGGGCUUGAACUCGUGGACCAUGAGAUGACCUGAGCUGAAGUUGGAUGCUUAAACCGACUGAGCCACCCAGGGACCCCAUUACUUCAAUAUUCUCUACAAGAUAACAAAUCUUCAUCUGCAGAAAAAAUCAUUCUUUGCAAAGCCAUGGUCCCCUCUGAUUCACAUAACUGUGUGCCUAGUGUCUGAGUCCUAGCUUGUGAAUGGAUCCCAGGAAGGCCAUGGCUGAGCUGCUGGAAGCUGCUGGAAAAUGGCAGAGCUCUGUUCUCUCACUGGUGGUCCUGCCUUCUACAGUUUCGCCUCCUGGUUUUAUUGGGGGACCAUUGACCCAUAUUACCAUGUUGUCACUGGAACUCCUUGAUUUUACUGAUGUUAGCAUGAAAUUGAGGUCUUGCUAUGUAUACCCCCACCUCUGCCCCCACCACAUGCUCAACAUCUGUGUUUGGUGGCAGCUUUUCGGAACUUUCUCCCAUGUGCCAUAACAGAAGCACAAAAGGCUCACAGAGCUGGCUCAUUUCUCAGCUGGAACCUUCUCCCCAAGUACAUCCAGUUGAGUCUGUGAUCCUGGCUGACUUUAGGUAUCCUUCAAGAACAAAAUGUCACUCAAAACAGUGACCCACCUUUCUGUUGCCAGUUGAUGUCCAGAGAUGGAAAGCAUGAGUUUUUGGAGCUUCUGAUUAAAGGCCUUUGUACCACAGGCCAAAGGAACUGAUCUUAGAUCACAAAUGGCACUAAGUGUUCCCGGGAAGGUCCCAUGUUUGUUGUUACAUGGUGUUCCCAGUGGAUUCUGACUCAGAGGGCUCCAAUUGUUAUGUUGAUGGGCAUCUGAUUUGAGAAAGGUAGAGCGCCUGAUGGUGUCACCAGCUCUGAAAGCCCUCCUUCAACCACAAGAUGGUCCUAGAAGGCUAGCAGCAGCUCUUCUAGUUCCAAUUAAGCCUGGCCUGAAGGUUCCUUCUUAGGGCGUAGAGGUAUUGACCUGAUUGGAGGUGAAGGUGACCAUGAGGAAAAGGCUACUAGGUCACUCUGGGUGACUAAGGCUACAGCGGAUGGGGGCAAAUUCAUGUGCACUAAGAAUAAAACCCCAAGAGUACUGGUUCUAGGACUAGGACUCUAUCCCUGGGAAUGGUUCUGCUGGCUUCCCAAACCAAUGAUUUCUCUACCAAUAUGCCACAUAAUCUCAUCCAAAUUGGUGUGACAAGGGGCCCUGUCUCCAGAUGCAGUGAACCAUCUGAUGGAGCAGUGGCUCUGAGAAGGAGAAUCGGACUGUUGGAGUAAAGGGAAAAUGCUGCCAUGGAUUAAACCUGAUGGGGCUUACCUGAGAACUUCUGCAGAGGGGGCAAUGCCCUUAACUGCUGUUCCUCUGCAAUCCUUACCAGAGCUUUGGGAUGGCUUGCCUGAAAUAGCUAGAAUCUGACCGCUGACACGAGGGUGAAGUGGAGGGCAGCCUGUUAGGAGGGAAGGGAUACCCUUUAGAAUUGGAGGCUUAGGAGGUGAUAGACUCCUGGGGUGCAGGCUAACCCAGUUCUGUGAGGCCCCUUCUCCUUUCUCUGCCUCAUGUAACCAGUAGGGAGGGGACCCUAGGAUGCUUCUGACUUUUGUGAUACUGGCCAUCUCUUCCCAGAUGGCCCUGAAUUUGGUGACAGUAACCCUGCUCUUUGAUAGAAGUUAAAUGAUUGUCAGUCUCCUUGUAACUAAUGGUCUUUCUUCAACCCAUCCCACCUGCUUUCAGUUUCUGAUGGGUUCCUUUGUGCUGAUGUAGGUGUAGAAGAUGAACGUAUCCUUUGUGAUUAAAAGGAUAAAAGAUUAAGUGAUAGCUCACUUAUUCAAAAUUAACGUUUUCUUGAAAUGUGUUUGAAGUUAUAAUUCCCUGAUGCAACUGUAUGUUACAGGCUAUAAUAACUCCCAUUUCAAAUACAUAAUAAUGCUAUUAAUAAAAACAACCUAAGCCUACUAAAACAUUCCCAGUGUUCGCUGAUCCGUGAGCUACCAUUAGAACAUGGGCCAGUCUGGAAGCACCGAGUCCCAAGCCACAAUGGGUAGAUCCUGCUUGCCCCUUCACUUGCCCUCUCGAGGGCCAGUGAGGCCAGGCUUGAGGGUGUCUCCUACCUCAAAACGCUGUUUAUUUACCUCCUGGGAGGGGUGUGAUCUUCCAAGGUAACAUGAGGAAAGUGUUUGUCACACUUCAUUGGACCCUAGAGCGACAAAACCAUAUGUUUGAGGUUCUUGUAGAAAGUUAGGCUGGGGCAUCCCCAUACCUGGAAUGCCACAGAUUUCUUCCCAAUAGCAAAGAAAAAGGACUCUAAGGUUGGGUUGUGGAGAGGGGCAGGGGUCUAUAUUCCAGUUUAACUUUACAGAGCUAGUGACAGUCCAGUUGGCCACUGGGUCCAGCUGUGGUGCUUAUCUAUUUGGGGCCCAGUCUAGUGGUGCUUCAGAAAGCUGGAGGGCCUGGAAGGAUUCCACACCUCUUCUCUUGGGGCUCUGAUGGGAGUGCUGCAGGAAAUGAUUGGUUUCUUGAUUGCUUACUGAGGAACCUAGUUCAGAACAAGGGACCAGGGAGGACCCUUGGGUUGUGACUCUAACAAAGGCGUAAUUGUCUUGGCUCCAUACUGGGCACUGCAAACUAAGCCCACAUGGAGUUCCUUUGCUGAUGCUGGUCAGGUGCAUGGCUGAAUUCUCACGCAGCCCUGGCCAGGUCUCUUGACAGAUGGCACCUGUAGGAGGAUGGAGCCCAGGCAAGCUUGCUUGUUUAAUAACCAGAAGGCACAUUGAAUUCUGUGCUUAGUGCAGCAUUCCAGAAAAGCCUUCCAAGAGGCUAUACCUUGCUGGUACCUCUGAAUACUUUAGAAUAUGGAGAACUGCUUGGUCUUUCACUUUAUUUUUGAUGCUUUUCCUUGUCCUUUUUCUUGACAAACCCUGGAUUAGAGCUUCUCAAGUCUCCUUGACUCUAGGUGAGUCUUCUGAUUUUUCCCAACCAGGGGGCCAGAGCACUGCAGGACUUCAAGGAGAACCUUCUGAGGGUUGCAGAGUGUCCCAAUUCACAACCUAUCAUCAUGGGCUCUUCUACCAAAGGCUGACAUACCACUUCUGCCUAUUGUCUUCUGUACUUCAAAUUUGAGCCUGAGCCUCAUGCUGCUUCCUCCCCCCGGCUCUGCCCACUCUUCCUUAGAUACUUUCCUCUGAUGGUUUGGUUUUUCCCUUUUGGAUGCUGCUGCUUUUAUCCUUUGCUGGCUCCUUCUUUCUACCAUGUUUUUCUUUAAUGGUUGUGUUCCAUGGGAUUCAAGGCUAUGCAUCCUGAGCAUUCUCUCCCUGGGUGACAGUAAUGGAAGCACCAAUGUGAUCUCUAUGGAUCUCCUCUCUACCUUUCAGACCUGCAGCCUGAAUGUGAGUGGAGCUUCAGACCCACCUAUUCACCUGCAUGUCUGAUGGUCUUCCCAACUCCAUUCACCCAAAUGGAGCUCUGGUUCAUUCUCUCCAAACCUGCUGCUUUCUCCCUCCCUGAUAGCGCUCUGCACCAGGUGGCCAGGUCGGAAUCAUUCUACUUGACUCUUCUCUACCUUGCCAUGUAUGCAAAUCUAACUCAAGUCCAGAUUCUAAUCUUCUCUUGAGUUUGGAUUUAAGCAAAAGAUGGAAGAAUGGAGACCAAUUCAAAACAUCCUUCUUUUUUUCCCUGUUCACCAUAGCAGCCUAACUUAAUCCUCCCUUCUAGGCUUGCUUCCCUCCAACACUUGAUUCUACAUAGAGCUAUGUUCCACUUUAUUUCAUUGUCUGAUAUUUGUCAUGUUUCUAACACUUAGUGGCAAUAGGGGGCACAAAAAGCCGGCGUUCUAUUUGCUUUUCCUCGAGAAACCUGUCUCCCAAGCUCUCUGGCUGCCUCCCUCCAUCCCUAUCCAGCUCUUCUGCCCUCACCCUUGCUCAGCCCAAGCGUAUGGGAAUAUAGGUCCCUAAUGGGACCCAGAGGAGACCAGAAGAGGGUCCUGCCAGAACCACACCCAUUCUAAGAGUCUUCUUUCCUUGGAAAUCUUCCUAUGUCUUUCAUAAAGGGAUCUUGGGAACCGUGUUCCCAGUUUAGGAAGCCAGGGGGAAGUUUGGGUUACUAAUUCAAAAGGAAGAGGGCAAGGAAGAACAAUAGUGGAGGGAUUUGACCUCACCAUGGAAACCAAGUGCCUGGUAGGGAGCUUGGGGAGGAAGAAAUGGGGGGCUGCCCAAUACUAGAGGGGUGGAGACUUCUGCACACGUGGGAGAGCCAAGCAGUGAAGCUUUUCUUCGUGUUCUUUGUUGAACUCCUUAAUUUCCACUUUAAUCUGGCAACUGUUAGACAGCUAAGCCUUGUGUGGUUCUCUAUUGAUGAUAAGCAGUUAUAUUGAUCCCUAAAUGGAGAGUACAGAACAGUCCUUAGAGAUCCUAUUUCCUCUUCAUAGUGAGGAAAAUAGCUGCUCUUCUAGUGCCCAUGGAGAGCCAGGCCCUGUCCUAGGAUGUUAACUCAAUAGUUCUUGUAGUCUGAGGGUUAAAUGGUGACAAGUAUGGGCUCUUAUUAACCAAUAGAGCUCUACGUAAAGAUUCAGUGUAUCCCUUGCUUGAUUCAAAUAAACCUAUAUUGUGACAUAUGCUCUAUAGGAUUGAGAAAGGCAGGAUGAUUCCAGUAAAACAUGGCCUGAAAUUCUUGAUGCUAGUUCUUCCUAGCAGUAAGUAAACAAAUGUGAAGAUUUGGUCUCUAGACCCUUCUGUAGUAACACCACUGCGCUAGCUAUGCCUGGGAUGGAAGUGGUGGAGAGGGCAAAGUGUGGGAUGCUGUUAGUUUCUGCUGAUCCCAGGAAGCCUGUAAACAUGUAAAUAUGUUCAUAAAGUACUGACUGGGCACCAGACGUCAGUGCUAUCACAAGAUGAAAUCGUAACUGUAGACUUGGGGUAUUUGCUCCCGUAACUUAAGUAAAUGUUACUGGUCCAUUAAGACUCAAUUUGACAAACUGAACUUCGGUUAGUCGAUCAUUUUUCUUAGCCAGGUAGGAUGUUCCACUGCGAUUCAUGGUGACAAUACUGAGGUUCUAGACCAUGGGGUGGGGAUGGGUGAGGGUAAUGUAUAAUGUGUCUCCACUCGGAGUAUACUUGAGAGUAUACAGAAGCCAUCAUUCUGCAACAUCACUAGGAGGGGGGAAGUGUGCUUGGAACUCGACUUGCUCAAAGCAACACAGCUAGCUACUGAUGGAGAAAGAAUGGAGUCUGAGGUCUUCCAGUUAGGCUGAAAACCUAUUGUUACUUGAUGCUGGGAAUUAGGGGAGCUAAACUAUAGCCAUAGACUGACCACAGACCUGGUACCUUUGGGCUAAUCUCCAAAAUAUAUGUGCACCAGGCUUUCUGUACCUGUACACAAGAAUGACCACCUGGGGGUUUUAUCUAGUCUCAUUGGAUGGAGUGGAUGUUGUGGCACUAAAUAAUGGAGAGCUGACGAUGUGAUCAGCAUCCUGUUGGAAUGCUAACUGUACUUAAUGGGAAAUGCCACUAACCAGACCUGCUGUGUUAGUCUGGUUUCCCUGGGGAAACGGAAUAGAGCAGAUGAUAAAUUGGCUCUUGUAAUUAUAGAGGUGCACAAGUCCCAAGAUCUGCAGGCUGAGUCAGCAAGCUGCAGACCCAACAGAGCCAAUUGUGUGGUUCCCAUUCAUAGGUCAUCAGGCUUGAGACCCAAGAAGAGCCAAUGUUCCAAUAUCUUAGUUUGAGUCCCAAAUCAGGAAAACUGACUUCUCUGUGUGAAGGCGAUGAGGCGGGAAGAAUUCUUCCUUGGGAGGGAGUCUGUCUUUUUCUACUCAGGUCUUGAACUGUCCUCUGUAGGGUGAGUGACUGACUUGGCAUCCACUCUGCUCUAUUCAGUCCACCAACUCAAGUGUUCAUCUCAUCCCAAGAUGCCCUCACAGGCACACCCAGAAUAACACUUGACUAGAUACCUGGGCACCCAGUGACCCAACCAAGUGGACAUGUAAAAUUAGCCAUCACACAUGCGAAUGCUUCAAGAAUUCUAGAUGAGGUUCUGUGUUCUUAGUUGAAAACCUGAAAUAACACUAGAAAAUGACCCAUACAUACAAAAUCUUAGAAAUUGUGUUUUUUUUACAGAAUAUAGGAUACUGUUCUAUAAAGAGCUCUCAUGGAGUAGAAAAUACUAUAGUCUAACACCUUGCCUGUAGCUUCAUUAGAGGACCUUACUAAAACUCCUCUUAUGGUCACGGCCUGGCUCCUGUCCUGGUUUUAUUGUCUGUGCAGCUAGCCAAGUCCAUUCCCUCAAGGGUGACAUCAUAAGAUGUUUGUCAAAAUGGUGAUUCUCAGUAGUAUACAACCCUCUGCUAGGAUGUCACAGCCUCCCUGCUACUCCGAAAAAUGAAAAGUGGGGCUAAUGUGACUCUUAAUCCCCUCAAAAACUUUUGCUUCCCUUUUCCUCCUUUAUAAAAAUUGGAUAAACUCCAUAACUCUCAGCUAAGGCAGGCCUCUCCCUCCAAGUUUGCUUCCUCCACAGCUAAUGACCAAUACCCCUCUAAUUCACUUGGAAUCAAGACUGGGCUUUGAUAAAAGUCAAGCAGAAGCAAUUUCCCCUUUGGCUUUUCCUGCCUACUUUUCACACCACAUGGGACAUCUGAAGAAAGAACUAACCUCUAAUCUUAAGACAAAACCCAUCCAUAGCCAGGAUCAAAUAUUUUGCUGUGUUUCAGCAGAAUUGUUUAUCCCAUUUUUCCCACUGUGUUUGGAUUCCUCCCAAAUUAGGCCCUAAGAUAGAAUACCCUGAGAAAAAGGUUUGUGAAGUCCUGGCAAAGGAGUUGAGGAGGUGAUCUAGGGAAAGGAAAGCUGUGACCAUAAGAGUUCUAAUAAGCCAGCUUCUACAGGGAUAGACUAGAGAUUAUACCGAUUGCUAGAGCUUUUCUUAAGGGUUAAACACCUACUUCAGAAUUAUUCUGGACUGAGAAAUCUGGGUUAUAUAUGCUCAUGACAUGUUAGUCAUUUAUUAAACAGUGCCUCUGAGAUAUUCUAAGCUUACUGGGUCAUAGAUACAAAGUGGGUUCUGCAGCCCAUGAGUUGCCUCCAAAGAAGAUGGAGCUAUUCUGAUGCAGAGUCCAGGAUGUCAGCCCCAGGGUGCACAAAACUUACAGCAUGGGGAUUCAAGGGGCAUGGUAGAGGAUGGGCCGUAUGUUCCACUAAGUGUUGGAGAUAUUAAGAUGAAGGCUUCUUUAAGUGUCCAUAAUGCAGAGUAGGAGCUGAGAAUAGUGGAUGGUAGAGAGUUAGAUUUUCCUUUUUUUUUUUUCCUUCCUUGAAGUGGUAUCUUAGAAAACCGUUAACACUUGAAUUUUUUCCUAUAAGAUGUAACAGGGCCAGUUCCACCACUCGCCCCUUUCCAUCUUGGAUUAAGCAAACCUUUCAUGGAAAUCCCUUGAAAUCCUAUGUUCAGUCUUGGAUAUAUAGAAACCAGUGGAAACAUCUGGUCUGCCUGCAAGCCUGGUCAGUGUCUUUGCUCAAUCAUCCCAAGAUACAUAUAGGGGGGAGAGAGCGAGCAAGGAGAACAAUCUGUUAAGAACUAAGAGCCAAAAUAUCCCCAAAUGUGAUAAGUGACCUGAAUCUAUUCAUCCAAAAAUUGUAAUGAACUCCAAGGAGGAUAAACCUAAAGAAAUCUACAAGACACGGUAUCAGAUUGUCAAAGGACAAAAAUGGAGUCAACUCAUUAUGUACAAGGGUAUCCUCCACUAAGAUUAACAACUGAAUUCUCAUCAGAUCAUGGAAGCCAGAAGGCUGUGGGGUGAUUGACAGGUUUUUUUUUUUCCUUUUUCCUUUUAGUACUUAAAGAAUUUUAUGUCUGGCAAAACUGUUCUCCCAAAACAGAAAUCAAGAAAUUCCUAGAUAAACAAAAACUGAGACCUUGCCAUACAACAGAUGCUAAAUGGAGUCCUUCAGAUUUAAAGGACACUGGAAAGUAACUCCAAUCCAUGUGAAGAAAUCAUUGGAAUGUGUUUCCUAUUGGGGUGAUGCAAACAUUGUGGAACUAGAUAGUAGUGAUGGUUGCAUAACUUUGGGGAUAUACUGAAUGCUACUGAAUUGUAUAUUUUAAAAUGGUUCAAAUGGUGAAUUUUAGGUUCUAUAAAUCUUAUACCAAUUUUAAAAUGUCUUCUGGGAGACCACCAACUGGAGAACUACUUAGGGCCCAUCUGAUUGAACUGUCGUGCUCCCAAAGGAUCUCAUGUCCACAAAACCAAGGUAUUAGAACUGCAUAAUCUUAUUUCUGGAACAGCUGAGAAUAUGUGGAAGAACAUAGUGGAAGAUGUCUGACAAGACCACGCACACGUAUUUGGUUACCUGGGUGGAACUGGCUUCAACCCUCAACCUUAAUGAGCCAAUAGUAAAGUUUUGGUUCAAUAACCAUAUCUGAUGGUUCUAGUCAUGACCCAUGCUGAGACUGCCUCUGAAAUUCCUGGAUUUUGAAAAACCUGUGUCAGAUGUUUAUCUUUUCAGAUCUCAUUAACUUUGGGAUGUAUGAAUGAAAGGUAGACUUUGGGUAACCUAGUUGCUCCCUCUUUGGGUUGUAUUGGUCUUAGAAGGGGGCUGGACUUUGACAGAAGAGCCAUCUAUUCCUUGGCAGUAAUGGUCUUCUCCUCCACACCCGAACCUCUGAAGAUGAGGUACUUUUUCUUUGCCUUCCAGGUCCUCCAGGAGGAAGUCUCUUUGACCAUCACUACAGCUUCUGUCCUGGAUCAUUCCUGAAAAGCAAACAUCUACCACUCAUGCAGAAUUUCUGGGAUUGCAGAUUCUCUGCCCAGGAUAAUCAAUGCAAGAUAGUUGUUACCAGAAGUCUCCCUUGGAAGCAGAGUUUCAGAAUGAGAUUUUUGAAGAUGAAUCACUCGCCAGCCUAAUGACCAGGAUCCCAUCACUGGAGACAAGUAGAUGACUGGUCAUAAUGGUAAAACUAGAGUGGUGGUUCUCAAUGUGGUCCCCAGGCCAGCAGCAUUGGCAUCUCCUGGGAACCUUCUAGAAAUGCAAAUCUCUGGACUCCAUUCCAGACCUACUGAAUCCAACUCGGGGAGUGGGUCUUAAUCAGUUGGAACAAGCUCUGUAGGUGUUUCAAGUACAUACUGAAAGGCUGACUUCCACCUCUGGAUUUGGAUGGUGGAAGGGGAUGUGUGGUUUUGUGUAAUCUCUAGCAUGUGAGAAAAGUGGGGGGAGGAUGGCUUGAAUGAAUUAAGGAUUGGAACUUGUGGAGUAGGACUGGGCCAAUCCUCUAUGCUAAGUAAGACCCAGUGCAAAAAUUGAAAGGGCCCUAUGGUGAUAGUUUUAAGACUUUCCUCACCUACAGCCCUGGUUUCAUGCAGUGAGCCCAGCUUCUAGAAUUCCGUGGAGUUUAAGACCCAUUACCUGCAUACUGCAGACUCCUGGCCACCUCUUGCUAUUUCCAAUCUUAACACCUGGCAGGACACAGUCUCCUCCCCAGCUUUUCGAUGCUAUGUCACUUCUAAAGCAUGUACUUGCCAUACCCUGUUGACUGUUCAGAAUGUGUUAAAAUAAAAAAUAAAUCAGAA